GCGCGUGCCUAAUACAUGCAAGUCGAGCGGACAGAUGGGAGCUUGCUCCCUGAUGUUAGCGGCGGACGGGUGAGUAACACGUGGGUAACCUGCCUGUAAGACUGGGAUAACUCCGGGAAACCGGGGCUAAUACCGGAUGGUUGUCUGAACCGCAUGGUUCAGACAUAAAAGGUGGCUUCGGCUACCACUUACAGAUGGACCCGCGGCGCAUUAGCUAGUUGGUGAGGUAACGGCUCACCAAGGCGACAAUGCGUAGCCGACCUGAGAGGGUGAUCGGCCACACUGGGACUGAGACACGGCCCAGACUCCUACGGGAGGCAGCAGUAGGGAAUCUUCCGCAAUGGACGAAAGUCUGACGGAGCAACGCCGCGUGAGUGAUGAAGGUUUUCGGAUCGUAAAGCUCUGUUGUUAGGGAAGAACAAGUGCCGUUCAAAUAGGGCGGCACCUUGACGGUACCUAACCAGAAAGCCACGGCUAACUACGUGCCAGCAGCCGCGGUAAUACGUAGGUGGCAAGCGUUGUCCGGAAUUAUUGGGCGUAAAGGGCUCGCAGGCGGUUUCUUAAGUCUGAUGUGAAAGCCCCCGGCUCAACCGGGGAGGGUCAUUGGAAACUGGGGAACUUGAGUGCAGAAGAGGAGAGUGGAAUUCCACGUGUAGCGGUGAAAUGCGUAGAGAUGUGGAGGAACACCAGUGGCGAAGGCGACUCUCUGGUCUGUAACUGACGCUGAGGAGCGAAAGCGUGGGGAGCGAACAGGAUUAGAUACCCUGGUAGUCCACGCCGUAAACGAUGAGUGCUAAGUGUUAGGGGGUUUCCGCCCCUUAGUGCUGCAGCUAACGCAUUAAGCACUCCGCCUGGGGAGUACGGUCGCAAGACUGAAACUCAAAGGAAUUGACGGGGGCCCGCACAAGCGGUGGAGCAUGUGGUUUAAUUCGAAGCAACGCGAAGAACCUUACCAGGUCUUGACAUCCUCUGACAAUCCUAGAGAUAGGACGUCCCCUUCGGGGGCAGAGUGACAGGUGGUGCAUGGUUGUCGUCAGCUCGUGUCGUGAGAUGUUGGGUUAAGUCCCGCAACGAGCGCAACCCUUGAUCUUAGUUGCCAGCAUUCAGUUGGGCACUCUAAGGUGACUGCCGGUGACAAACCGGAGGAAGGUGGGGAUGACGUCAAAUCAUCAUGCCCCUUAUGACCUGGGCUACACACGUGCUACAAUGGACAGAACAA
This 1219-nucleotide ribosomal RNA is filed under the name Bacillus amyloliquefaciens. RNAcentral's name for it is "bacterial SSU rRNA". It matches the Rfam family "Bacterial small subunit ribosomal RNA", at positions 39 to 1242 of the family's 1533-position model. Lineage: Bacteria; Bacillati; Bacillota; Bacilli; Caryophanales; Bacillaceae. The record is from RNAcentral.